CCUACGGGAGGCAGCAGUGGGGAAUAUUGGACAAUGGGGGGAACCCUGAUCCAGCCAUGCCGCGUGUGUGAAGAAGGCCCUCGGGUUGUAAAGCACUUUCAGUGAGGAAGAACGCCUGGUGGUUAAUACCCAUCAGGAAAGACAUCACUCACAGAAGAAGCACCGGCUAACUCCGUGCCAGCAGCCGCGGUAAUACGGAGGGUGCGAGCGUUAAUCGGAAUUACUGGGCGUAAAGCGCGCGUAGGUGGCUUGAUAAGCCGGUUGUGAAAGCCCCGGGCUCAACCUGGGAACGGCAUCCGGAACUGUCAAGCUAGAGUGCAGGAGAGGAAGGUAGAAUUCCCGGUGUAGCGGUGAAAUGCGUAGAGAUCGGGAGGAAUACCAGUGGCGAAGGCGGCCUUCUGGACUGACACUGCCACUGAGGUGCGAAAGCGUGGGUAGCAAACAGGAUUAGAUACCCUUGUAGUC
This 465-nucleotide ribosomal RNA is filed under the name Vreelandella stevensii. RNAcentral's name for it is "partial 16S ribosomal RNA". It matches the Rfam family "Bacterial small subunit ribosomal RNA", at positions 338 to 795 of the family's 1533-position model. Lineage: Bacteria; Pseudomonadati; Pseudomonadota; Gammaproteobacteria; Oceanospirillales; Halomonadaceae. The record is from RNAcentral.